UACGGGGGGUGCGAGCGUUGUCCGGAUUCACUGGGCGUAAAGGGCGCGUAGGCGGCGCGGGAAGUCAUCGGUGAAAGUUCAGGGCUCAACUCUGAAUCGGCCGGUGAUACUCUCGUGCUCGAGCACUGUAGAGGCAGGUGGAAUUCCGGGUGUAGCGGUGGAAUGCGUAGAGAUCCGGAAGAACACCGGUGGCGAAGGCGGCCUGCUGGGCAGUAGCUGACGCUGAUGCGCGACAGCGUGGGGAGCAAACAGG
RNAcentral lists this ribosomal RNA (253 nucleotides) under uncultured bacterium. Its description in RNAcentral is "partial 16S ribosomal RNA". It matches the Rfam family "Bacterial small subunit ribosomal RNA", at positions 524 to 776 of the family's 1533-position model. The record is from RNAcentral.